RNAcentral lists this ribosomal RNA (253 nucleotides) under uncultured bacterium. RNAcentral's name for it is "partial 16S ribosomal RNA". It matches the Rfam family "Bacterial small subunit ribosomal RNA", at positions 524 to 776 of the family's 1533-position model. The record is from RNAcentral.
UACGUAGGCAGCGAGCGUUGUUCGGAUUUACUGGGCGUAAAGCGUGCGUAGGCGGUUUUGUAAGUUUGGUGUGAAAUCUCCCGGCUCAACUGGGAGGGUGCGCCGAAAACUGCAAGGCUGGAGUGUGGGAGAGGUAGGCGGAAUUCCUGGUGUAGCGGUGAAAUGCGUAGAUAUCAGGAGGAACACCUGUGGUGUAGACGGCUUACUGGACCAUGACUGACGCUGAGGCACGAAAGCGUGGGGAGCAAACAGG